GCGUCCGUAGCGCAGUUGGUUAGAGCACCACCUUGACAUGGUGGGGGUCGGUGGUUCGAGUCCACUCGGACGCACCA
RNAcentral lists this transfer RNA (77 nucleotides) under Arsenophonus endosymbiont of Aphis craccivora. RNAcentral describes it as "tRNA-Val". It matches the Rfam family "tRNA". Rfam says of the family: Transfer RNA (tRNA) molecules are approximately 80 nucleotides in length. Their secondary structure includes four short double-helical elements and three loops (D, anti-codon, and T loops). Further hydrogen bonds mediate the characteristic L-shaped molecular structure. tRNAs have two regions of fundamental functional importance: the anti-codon, which is responsible for specific mRNA codon recognition, and the 3' end, to which the tRNAs corresponding amino acid is attached (by aminoacyl-tRNA synthetases). tRNAs cope with the degeneracy of the genetic code in two manners: having more than one tRNA (with a specific anti-codon) for a particular amino acid; and 'wobble' base-pairing, i.e. permitting non-standard base-pairing at the 3rd anti-codon position. Lineage: Bacteria; Pseudomonadati; Pseudomonadota; Gammaproteobacteria; Enterobacterales; Morganellaceae. The record is from RNAcentral.